Molecule: ribosomal RNA, 496 nt
Filed under: uncultured bacterium
Lineage: Bacteria
Description: partial 16S ribosomal RNA
Rfam family: Bacterial small subunit ribosomal RNA
Source: RNAcentral
GACGAACGCUGGCGGCGUGCCUAAUACAUGCAAGUUGAGCGAUGAAGAUUGGUGCUUGCACCAAUUUGAAGAGCAGCGAACGGGUGAGUAACGCGUGGGGAAUCUGCCUUUGAGCGGGGACAACAUUUGGAAACGAAUGCUAAUACCGCAUAACAACUUUAAACAUAAGUUUUAAGUUUGAAAGAUGCAAUUGCAUCACUCAAAGAUGAUCCCGCGUUGUAUUAGCUAGUUGGUGAGGUAAAGGCUCACCAAGGCGAUGAUACAUAGCCGACCUGAGAGGGUGAUCGGCCACAUUGGGACUGAGACACGGCCCAAACUCCUACGGGAGGCAGCAGUAGGGAAUCUUCGGCAAUGGACGAAAGUCUGACCGAGCAACGCCGCGUGAGUGAAGAAGGUUUUCGGAUCGUAAAACUCUGUUGGUAGAGAAGAACGUUGGUGAGAGUGGAAAGCUCAUCAAGUGACGGUAACUACACAGAAAGGGACGGCUAACUACGUG